This 316-nucleotide long non-coding RNA is filed under the name Elaeis guineensis (African oil palm). Its description in RNAcentral is "long non-coding RNA (EGUI_LNC071393)". The record is from RNAcentral. Lineage: Eukaryota; Viridiplantae; Streptophyta; Magnoliopsida; Arecales; Arecaceae.
UCCGAGCCUCCACGGUAACUGGUCUUCGUCCGAGCUUCUACAAUAAGCGGCUUCCUUUCAGACUCCUACAAGAGUCGGACUCCGUCUGAACUUCUACCACAGAAUUGAAUCUUGAUCUCCUCCAAUGUUCGACCUUCCCUAGUGUCCUCGAGACUCCUCCAGCGGAUAAACCUCCACAGCGCCAUCCGAACUCCACUGUCGGUCGACCUUCUGUCGGAUUCCUCAUGAAAUCGGACCUCUCCGAUGGACGAUCCUCAGAUGAGCUUCUACAUUAGGCAAAUUUCAGAUGGACAUCUCUAGCAAUUGGAUGCCUGCC